RNAcentral lists this ribosomal RNA (340 nucleotides) under uncultured bacterium. RNAcentral's name for it is "bacterial SSU rRNA". It matches the Rfam family "Bacterial small subunit ribosomal RNA", at positions 28 to 368 of the family's 1533-position model. The record is from RNAcentral.
GACGAACGCUGGCGGCGUGCUUAACACAUGCAAGUCGAGCGGUAAGGCCCUUUCGGGGGUACGACGAGCGGCGAACGGGUGAGUAACACGUGGGUGACCUGCCCUCAGCUCUGGGAUAAGCCUGGGAAACCGGGUCUAAUACUGGAUAUGACUCCAUGACGCAUGUUGUGGGGUGGAAAGCCUUGUGCGGCUGAGGAUGGGCCCGCGGCCUAUCAGCUUGUUGGUGGGGUGAUGGCCUACCAAGGCGACGACGGGUAGCCGGCCUGAGAGGGCGACCGGCCACACUGGGACUGAGACACGGCCCAGACUCCUACGGGAGGCAGCAGUGGGGAAUCUUGCG